RNAcentral lists this unclassified non-coding RNA (787 nucleotides) under Hevea brasiliensis (rubber tree). Lineage: Eukaryota; Viridiplantae; Streptophyta; Magnoliopsida; Malpighiales; Euphorbiaceae. The record is from RNAcentral.
UUAUUUAUUUAUUUUUUUUAAAUGUACAUAGAUUAAGAUUUGAACUUGUAAAUGAUGAGAGAAAAGAAUUCUUCAAAUGGAUCUUAAAGUUUGUAUUUGAGAUCACACUCCUUUAAUAGUUAUUUAAAAAUUCAUCCUCAUAUUAUUUUUCAUCAACAUUCAUGUAUUGGGAACUUUAUUCAAGAAAUUUAAACUAAAACAGCAGGCACAAAUGCCAUUAUCCAAAUGUGACAUAAUCUGAACAAUGCAGGUAGGUGUGGAGAAUUGCAGAAUGAUGCAUGCAUUAAUUUAGGAUUCUUGUUUGUAAGGAAAUGUUCUAGGUCACAAAAAUGGUGGUGUAAAGGAAAGGUGUGAUGGAACCUUAAGGAUAGCUUAAGAAAGUCUGGCAGGAGAUUCAAGAGAAGUAAAAAGUUAGUCCAAAAUGAGUUGUAUAUAAUAACCAAAAAUGAGGGUCAGGGGAGUGAUUAUAUUACAUGAGGACAGCCUUCUCCUAACUCAUUGACACCUAACUGAAUGGUAUUGCAUUCUGUAAAGUUCAUGUGGCUGGGCAGAAAAUAUUUUUAUGAAUGAUUGAGUCCCUUGCAAAAUGACCUACUUGCAAUAUAUUACUUCACUAUUCAGACGAUCAUGUCCUUGUUUAUUACUUUUUUCUGUCAGUAUAUCAACCUUCUGCUUGUUUUUGCUCAACUGUGAAUUGAUAAUUUGAUAUGAUAGUGAGUUAAACUGCUUGUUUUUCUGCACUGAACUUGGUUUUGAGUGUCACAGAUCAUUUCUCUGUGGUGGAUCA